GAUGAACGCUGGCGGCGUGCCUAAUACAUGCAAGUCGAGCGAACGGACGAGAAGCUUGCUUCUCUGAUGUUAGCGGCGGACGGGUGAGUAACACGUGGAUAACCUACCUAUAAGACUGGGAUAACUUCGGGAAACCGGAGCUAAUACCGGAUAAUAUUUUGAACCGCAUGGUUCAAUAGUAAAAGACGGUCUUUCUGUCACUUAUAGAUGGAUCCGCGCUGCAUUAGCUAGUUGGUAAGGUAACGGCUUACCAAGGCAACGAUGCAUAGCCGACCUGAGAGGGUGAUAGGCCGCACUGGAACGGAGACACGGACCCGACUACUACGGGAGGCACCAGAAGGGAAUCGUCGGCAACGGGCGAAAGCCUGACAGAGCAAGGCCGAGCGAGUGAUAAAGGUCUUCGGAUCGUAAAACUCCGUUAUGAGGGAAGAACAGAUGUGUAAGUAACAAUGCACGGCUUGACGGUACCUAAUAAGAAAGCCACGGCUAACUACGUG
This 497-nucleotide ribosomal RNA is filed under the name uncultured bacterium. Its description in RNAcentral is "partial 16S ribosomal RNA". It matches the Rfam family "Bacterial small subunit ribosomal RNA", at positions 28 to 507 of the family's 1533-position model. The record is from RNAcentral.